GGGAUUGUGGCUCAGUGGCAGAGUGCUUGCCUCACACGUAUGAGGUACUGGGUUCAAUCCUCAGUACCA
This is a non-coding RNA of Ictidomys tridecemlineatus (thirteen-lined ground squirrel), 69 nucleotides long. Lineage: Eukaryota; Metazoa; Chordata; Mammalia; Rodentia; Sciuridae. The record is from Rfam.